RNAcentral lists this ribosomal RNA (2904 nucleotides) under Escherichia coli. Its description in RNAcentral is "23S ribosomal RNA". It matches the Rfam family "Bacterial large subunit ribosomal RNA". The record is from RNAcentral. Lineage: Bacteria; Pseudomonadati; Pseudomonadota; Gammaproteobacteria; Enterobacterales; Enterobacteriaceae.
GGUUAAGCGACUAAGCGUACACGGUGGAUGCCCUGGCAGUCAGAGGCGAUGAAGGACGUGCUAAUCUGCGAUAAGCGUCGGUGAGGUGAUAUGAACCGUUAUAACCGGCGAUUUCCGAAUGGGGAAACCCAGUGUGUUUCGACACACUAUCAUUAACUGAAUCCAUAGGUUAAUGAGGCGAACCGGGGGAACUGAAACAUCUAAGUACCCCGAGGAAAAGAAAUCAACCGAGAUUCCCCCAGUAGCGGCGAGCGAACGGGGAGGAGCCCAGAGCCUGAAUCAGUGUGUGUGUUAGUGGAAGCGUCUGGAAAGGCGCGCGAUACAGGGUGACAGCCCCGUACACAAAAAUGCACAUAUUGUGAGCUCGAUGAGUAGGGCGGGACACGUGGUAUCCUGUCUGAAUAUGGGGGGACCAUCCUCCAAGGCUAAAUACUCCUGACUGACCGAUAGUGAACCAGUACCGUGAGGGAAAGGCGAAAAGAACCCCGGCGAGGGGAGUGAAAAAGAACCUGAAACCGUGUACGUACAAGCAGUGGGAGCCUCUUAAUGGGGUGACUGCGUACCUUUUGUAUAAUGGGUCAGCGACUUAUAUUCUGUAGCAAGGUUAACCGAAUAGGGGAGCCGAAGGGAAACCGAGUCUUAACUGGGCGUUAAGUUGCAGGGUAUAGACCCGAAACCCGGUGAUCUAGCCAUGGGCAGGUUGAAGGUUGGGUAACACUAACUGGAGGACCGAACCGACUAAUGUUGAAAAAUUAGCGGAUGACUUGUGGCUGGGGGUGAAAGGCCAAUCAAACCGGGAGAUAGCUGGUUCUCCCCGAAAGCUAUUUAGGUAGCGCCUCGUGAAUUCAUCUCCGGGGGUAGAGCACUGUUUCGGCAAGGGGGUCAUCCCGACUUACCAACCCGAUGCAAACUGCGAAUACCGGAGAAUGUUAUCACGGGAGACACACGGCGGGUGCUAACGUCCGUCGUGAAGAGGGAAACAACCCAGACCGCCAGCUAAGGUCCCAAAGUCAUGGUUAAGUGGGAAACGAUGUGGGAAGGCCCAGACAGCCAGGAUGUUGGCUUAGAAGCAGCCAUCAUUUAAAGAAAGCGUAAUAGCUCACUGGUCGAGUCGGCCUGCGCGGAAGAUGUAACGGGGCUAAACCAUGCACCGAAGCUGCGGCAGCGACACUAUGUGUUGUUGGGUAGGGGAGCGUUCUGUAAGCCUGUGAAGGUGGCCUGUGAGGGUUGCUGGAGGUAUCAGAAGUGCGAAUGCUGACAUAAGUAACGAUAAAGCGGGUGAAAAGCCCGCUCGCCGGAAGACCAAGGGUUCCUGUCCAACGUUAAUCGGGGCAGGGUGAGUCGACCCCUAAGGCGAGGCCGAAAGGCGUAGUCGAUGGGAAACAGGUUAAUAUUCCUGUACUUGGUGUUACUGCGAAGGGGGGACGGAGAAGGCUAUGUUGGCCGGGCGACGGUUGUCCCGGUUUAAGCGUGUAGGCUGGUUUUCCAGGCAAAUCCGGAAAACCAAGGCUGAGGCGUGAUGACGAGGCACUACGGUGCUGAAGCGACAAAUGCCCUGCUUCCAGGAAAAGCCUCUAAGCAUCAGGUAACAUCAAAUCGUACCCCAAACCGACACAGGUGGUCAGGUAGAGAAUACCAAGGCGCUUGAGAGAACUCGGGUGAAGGAACUAGGCAAAAUGGUGCCGUAACUUCGGGAGAAGGCACGCUGAUAUGUAGGUGAAGCGUCUUGCUCGUGGAGCUGAAAUCAGUCGAAGAUACCAGCUGGCUGCAACUGUUUAUUAAAAACACAGCACUGUGCAAACACGAAAGUGGACGUAUACGGUGUGACGCCUGCCCGGUGCCGGAAGGUUAAUUGAUGGGGUUAGCGGUAACGCGAAGCUCUUGAUCGAAGCCCCGGUAAACGGCGGCCGUAACUAUAACGGUCCUAAGGUAGCGAAAUUCCUUGUCGGGUAAGUUCCGACCUGCACGAAUGGCGUAAUGAUGGCCAGGCUGUCUCCACCCGAGACUCAGUGAAAUUGAACUCGCUGUGAAGAUGCAGUGUACCCGCGGCAAGACGGAAAGACCCCGUGAACCUUUACUAUAGCUUGACACUGAACAUUGAGCCUUGAUGUGUAGGAUAGGUGGGAGGCUUUGAAGUGUGGACGCCAGUCUGCAUGGAGCCGACCUUGAAAUACCACCCUUUAAUGUUUGAUGUUCUAACGUUGGCCCCUAAUCGGGGUUGCGGACAGUGUCUGGUGGGUAGUUUGACUGGGGCGGUCUCCUCCUAAAGAGUAACGGAGGAGCACGAAGGUUGGCUAAUCCUGGUCGGACAUCAGGAGGUUAGUGCAAUGGCAUAAGCCAGCUUGACUGCGAGCGUGACGGCGCGAGCAGGUGCGAAAGCAGGUCAUAGUGAUCCGGUGGUUCUGAAUGGAAGGGCCAUCGCUCAACGGAUAAAAGGUACUCCGGGGAUAACAGGCUGAUACCGCCCAAGAGUUCAUAUCGACGGCGGUGUUUGGCACCUCGAUGUCGGCUCAUCACAUCCUGGGGCUGAAGUAGGUCCCAAGGGUAUGGCUGUUCGCCAUUUAAAGUGGUACGCGAGCUGGGUUUAGAACGUCGUGAGACAGUUCGGUCCCUAUCUGCCGUGGGCGCUGGAGAACUGAGGGGGGCUGCUCCUAGUACGAGAGGACCGGAGUGGACGCAUCACUGGUGUUCGGGUUGUCAUGCCAAUGGCACUGCCCGGUAGCUAAAUGCGGAAGAGAUAAGUGCUGAAAGCAUCUAAGCACGAAACUUGCCCCGAGAUGAGUUCUCCCUGACCCUUUAAGGGUCCUGAAGGAACGUUGAAGACGACGACGUUGAUAGGCCGGGUGUGUAAGCGCAGCGAUGCGUUGAGCUAACCGGUACUAAUGAACCGUGAGGCUUAACCUU